This 217-nucleotide non-coding RNA is filed under the name Gracilibacillus kekensis. RNAcentral's name for it is "T-box sequence". It matches the Rfam family "T-box leader". From Rfam's summary of the family: Uncharged tRNA acts as the effector for transcription antitermination of genes in the T-box leader family. T-boxes are found upstream of many aminoacyl-tRNA synthetase genes and some amino acid biosynthetic genes usually in Gram-positive bacteria. Lineage: Bacteria; Bacillati; Bacillota; Bacilli; Caryophanales; Bacillaceae. The record is from RNAcentral.
AAAAUACCAUAGAAGGAAAAAGUAACGGAGCAAACAGUAACGAAGAGAGAGAAUUCCCUGGCUGUAAGAAUUCUUGUUAACUGACUCACGUGAAAGACAUUCUGGAGGUUUCGUGCUGAAGUUGAGUAAGUAUGAACGUAGGCAGGCGUUAACUGUUUGAGUGGGAGUAUGCGUACUUCAACUAGGGUGGCAACACGGGUAAUCUCUCGUCCCUUUU